AUGGCGCGCGAGCAGCUGGAGGUGCUCACGGCGCUGGACGCCGCCAAGACGCAGUGGUACCACUUCACGGCCAUCGUCAUCGCCGGCAUGGGCUUCUUCACCGACGCCUACGACCUCUUCUGCAUCUCCCUCGUCACCAAGCUGCUCGGCCGCAUCUACUACUACCGGGAAGGGGCGGACGCGCCCGGCUCGCUGCCGCCCAACGUCGCCGCCGCCGUCAACGGCGUCGCCUUCUGCGGCACGCUCUCCGGCCAGCUCUUCUUCGGCUGGCUCGGCGACCGCAUGGGCCGCAAGCGCGUCUACGGCAUGACGCUCAUGUGCAUGGUGCUCUGCUCCAUCGCCUCGGGCCUCUCCUUCGGGUCCACCCCCGGCUCCGUCAUGGCCACGCUGUGCUUCUUCCGCUUCUGGCUUGGGUUCGGCAUCGGCGGCGACUACCCGCUCUCCGCCACCAUCAUGUCCGAGUACGCCAACAAGAAGACGAGGGGCGCCUUCAUCGCCGCCGUGUUUGCUAUGCAGGGCUUCGGCAUCCUCACCGGCGGCGUCGUCACGCUCAUCGUCUCCGCCGCCUUCCGCGCCGCCUUCCCCACCCAGGCCUACCAGGACGCCCCCCUCGCCUCCACGCCGGCGCAGGCCGACUUCGUGUGGCGCUUCAUCCUCAUGUUCGGCGCCGUCCCGGCCCUCAUGACCUACUACUGGCGGAUGAAGAUGCCCGAGACGGCGCGCUACACGGCGCUCGUCGCCAAGAACGCCAAGCAGGCGGCCGCGGACAUGUCCAAGGUGCUCCAGGUGGACAUCGGCGCCGAGGAAGAGGACCCCAAGGCGAACGACGGCGUUGGAGCCGCCGACGACCGCAACUCGUUCGGGCUCUUCUCCGGCGAGUUCCUGCGCCGGCACGGGCUGCACCUCCUCGGCACGGCCACCUGCUGGUUCCUCCUCGACAUCGCCUUCUACUCGCAGAACCUGUUCCAGAAGGACAUCUUCACGGCGAUCAACUGGAUCCCCAAGGCCAAGACGAUGAGCGCCCUCGAGGAGGUGCACCGCAUCGCGCGCGCGCAGACGCUCAUCGCGCUCUGCGGCACGGUGCCGGGCUACUGGUUCACGGUGGCGCUGAUCGACCGGAUCGGGCGGUUCUGGAUCCAGCUCGGCGGCUUCUUCUUCAUGGCCGUGUUCAUGCUGGGGCUCGCCUUCCCGUACCACCACUGGACGACGCCGGGGAACCACAUCGGGUUCGUGGUGCUGUACGCGCUCACCUUCUUCUUCGCCAACUUCGGGCCCAACUCCACCACCUUCAUCGUGCCAGCGGAGAUCUUCCCGGCGAGGCUCCGGUCGACGUGCCACGGCAUCUCGGCGGCGGCGGGGAAGCUGGGGGCCAUCGUGGGGUCGUUCGGGUUCCUGUACCUGGCGCAGAACAAGGACCCGGCCAAGGUGGACCACGGGUACAAGGCCGGCAUCGGGGUGCGGAACUCGCUCUUCAUCCUCGCCGCCUGCAACUUCCUCGGCAUGGGCUUCACCUUCUGCGCGCCCGAGUCCAACGGCAUCUCGCUCGAGGAGCUCUCCGGCGAGAACGACGACGGCGAGGCGGCCGCGCCGGCGCACGCCAGGACGGUGCCCGUGUGA
This 1617-nucleotide ribosomal RNA is filed under the name Triticum aestivum (bread wheat). Its description in RNAcentral is "partial small subunit ribosomal RNA". The record is from RNAcentral. Lineage: Eukaryota; Viridiplantae; Streptophyta; Magnoliopsida; Poales; Poaceae.